This is a long non-coding RNA of Marmota monax (woodchuck), 3045 nucleotides long. RefSeq lists it as uncharacterized. The transcript has 4 exons. The record is from RefSeq and is a predicted model, not a curated record. NCBI's taxonomy places the organism in Eukaryota, Metazoa, Chordata, Mammalia, Rodentia, Sciuridae.
UCAGCUGACUUGAGAAGAGCAAAAGGAGCCAGCAAAGCAAAACACCCCAGCCAGCCAUGGCCCUCUGCAGGGGUCACAGAAGCCCAGCCCAUGAGCCAGGCCCACCAGAGACGCUCUCAGGAAGGCCAACGGAGGCAGAGGUGAAGGACUCCACUGCCCAUCCAGGAGGAGGCCCCUUCUCCCCCUGCAGCCCAGCCCCGGCUAUUAUUUAUAUUUUUCUUGAGCAGUAUAUCAAAUCCUCUCUCUAUUCACUGUGCAAACAGGCAGAGGGAGCUAAGCUCUGGGUUAGGGCUUUAUUGCUCCUUCUCUGUAACUAUUAUAGGGGCUGAGCUCCCUUGACUUGACAGGUGGGCAGCACCCCGGAGAGCACAGGGAUGUGAAAUGGGCCUUCCAGUGACUCAGGUGCAAACUCAGGAGCUACGCAGCCACUGGGAGCCCACAGUGACGGGGUCCCCUGGUGUCACAUUUCCUGGGAGUUAGCCCCAUCAGGACUGACGCUCAAGCGUACCUCUGCUCCAGGUGAUGUGUGGCAAGAAAGGUGAGAAGCCAAGGAUCUAGCUGUGCUCAGGGUCUGCAUUUCAUGCCACCAUCUACCAACUUGCCAAGCCCAGACACCCUCCUGAAACGCUCCUCACUGUGGGAGGCACCAGGAAACCAGAGGGCCCAGGAGUCUUGCUGCUGUGACCCAUGUCGACCGCCCUCUAGGGGAAGAGCUAAAGGUGAUGCGAUGAGGAAAGAUCUCCCCUCUACUGCGGACCUCUAAAUUAAACCAACGAAGGACAGAUGGAGAGCGAAGCACAGAAAUUUUACUUAUGUUAAUAUUUUUCCAUGGCACAGGGUCCUUCGUAGAAAAGAAAUGAAGACCCCCACAGGGGAUUCAGCCUGAGAGCUCAUAUACCAUUUCAGCCAAGAACAAUCAGUUGUGGAGAUGUGACCAGAUUAAAGCAAAGGGGUUUCAGGCUUCAACAAUAAAUUGUGGGAAAGCAACUAGGAAAUUUGUGGGGAAAAACAAUGAAAGAUAAGGACGAUUUUAGUAGAUUUGUUUGUACAGAUUUGACUUGACAUCAACUACCCAUUUCCAGUGACAGAAAAGUUCUCUUCCUGGUUCAGGGAAGGAGGCACCUUUCACAAUGGGGAAUCUACGCCUCCUGGAAGAAGGCAAAGAGUCUUACCUGCAUCUGCUGUUUCUCAAAUUUCAGCUCAAAAUAAGCAGUAUGUCCAAGUGUGAUAUUUGGGGUGGCAUGCCAGGGGCAGAUCUGCAGGGGCACAGUGCCCUUCUUCUGUGGCCCACGGUAUUGUGCACACCUCUGAAAUCCACACCCACUCCUGAACUCUAAUUGCUGAACUGCUUCUCUCCCUCCUUAGUCUGUCUGCUGUUUGAAAAGGAGUUGGGCCUUUCACCUCUUUUCCCCAGUGGCUACUACAGUGCCUGGCAUAUGACAUGAAUGCAAUAAGUAUUCUCUAAAAUGAAAUAAAAAUGUGAUUGUGCACAGUGCCAGAACUGUUGGAGACCUCAGAGGUGGUUUAGUCUACUCUUCUCAUUUCCAACAUGAAAAAAAAAAAAACUGUCACCUGGAGGCAAAUGGCUGUGUCCAAGCAUUACUAUGAAUAGCAGUAAACUCAGGACUAGAUUUUCAUUUUUCUGAUUCCAGGUUUCCUCUACUCCUUAAUUUUAACUGCAAUCUCAGGUUGUUCCUUGGAACGAGAACUCAUACAAGUUUCCCAUAAAACCCAGAGUCGUAUGUUUUGGCAACAAGAGCGAGACAGCGAGAAGGGUUGGAUCUGCCUGCUUUGAUUCCUUUGCCAAAAACAACUUCUGAGUUCUCUGGAUAGCACACUUGCAAACCUCGCAAAGUGCCACAAGUUGGAGUCAUGAAACGAAGUGUGGAGCCUGAGAAUAACUCCUUCGCACAGACUACCUCUGGUGGUGGGUGGUGAGGUUUUUUUUUUUUUUCUUUAACAUCCUAUUAGCACAUUAUCUUUAGUUUCCAGAGCCUUUCUUGGUUCCAAACUUACAGGUGGUGAUGGUGAGUGGGAGAUUGAGUAAGAUGUUCCUUAGUCGGGAGGCAAAGCUGUUGGUCCCUCCUCAUGCCACGGUUCAGCCAUUGGCCACAGCUGCUGCUGCUGCUGCUGCUGCAGCUUUCUUCCAGGCAAAUGCAAUCACUGCUUCUGAAAUGUGUGCAUGCCAGGAGCAAGAGUCAGGAGCACUCAUCAUCCUGGACCAGAAUCACCUGUUUACCUAUCUGCCCUCACCCCACUGUGUGCUCUUGAAAUCCUUGGUUAUGUCUUCUGUCUAGGUAGCCUGAAUCCUGGUCAAGUGUCCAAUUUUGCAUUCUUUGGUAACCCCCAAAGGAAGAAGAAAAUGUUGGGUGGCUUUGAGAACGUGGAUUCAGUGGCGAGGAGCUAGAUGACAAGACCUGGCCGCCUUCUGAGCCCUCAUGAAUAGAGGGUGCUCCUCCCACCACCAAGUGGCCGAUGUGAUGAUCUAAGAAGAUUGUGCACUUGCAACUCCUGUGAGGAGUUGUAUGAUCAUACAACUUUGGGUAAGUUAAGCCACGUUGGAUCCUCAUCGUCCUCAGCAGUAAAAUGAGCACUCUAACUCUGAAGGUCUUUUCGUGCUCUGAAAUUCUACUGGAUUCCCUUACCAUCAGAUACCCACCUCUCUCCUCUUGGACAGAGGAGAAGCCAAUCCACUAAAAGAACAAAGAGAAAACUAUAUGGAUGAUGUAGGAUCGCAACCAAUUUUGCUCCUGCCAAAAGAAAACCCACACUGCAUAUUUGAGUUUUUCAGAGGACAUGUACUGUUUGAAAAUCAUCUUCUGUCUUGCAUUUAAAAAAAAAUUUUUUUAAGAAGAAGAAAAAGACAAGUGGGAGAGGCAUAAACAUUCUGCACAUAACUUUUCUACUUAUAGACAGAUUUUUUUGAUGCUUUUUUUCUCUCUCUCUCUCUCGCUGGAGGUGUGAGGGAGGAUUCCCAUAGCUGGAGGAGGGUGGAAGUCAGGGGACUGUGGGAGAAGGCAAGUGUGAUCGUGGGACUACACUUAA